AGGAUCAUUAAAAAAAUACAUAUCACACUGAUUUUCAUUAGACACACACAACAACACAAACAUCAACAUACAACAAAACAAAACUUUCAACAACGGAUCUCUUGGUUCUCGCACCGAUGAAGAACGCAGCGAAAUGCGAUACGUAGUAUGACUUGCAGCCUUCGUGAAUCAUCGAAUCUUUGAACGCACAUUGCACCCCGUGGCAUUCCGCGGGGUAUGCCUGGCUGAGCGUCUUUUCUCCCUCAACACUUUGUUGGCGAUGUGGCUGGACACCCACCACGAAAGAGAAAACCAGAGAGCAACACGCAUUUCUCUGGGACGCAACGUAGACCUCAGCUCAGGUAGGAGGACCCGCUGAACUUAA
RNAcentral lists this unclassified non-coding RNA (364 nucleotides) under [Candida] sp. A1234. RNAcentral describes it as "Candida sp. A1234 sequence contains 18S rRNA gene, ITS1, 5.8S rRNA gene, ITS2, 28S rRNA gene". The stretch from base 82 to 234 matches the Rfam family "5.8S ribosomal RNA". Lineage: Eukaryota; Fungi; Ascomycota; Saccharomycetes; Saccharomycetales. The record is from RNAcentral.